AUUGAACGCUGGCGGCAGGCCUAACACAUGCAAGUCGAGCGGAAACGAGUUAUCUGAACCUUCGGGGAACGAUAACGGCGUCGAGCGGCGGACGGGUGAGUAAUGCCUAGGAAAUUGCCCUGAUGUGGGGGAUAACCAUUGGAAACGAUGGCUAAUACCGCAUGAUGCCUACGGGCCAAAGAGGGGGACCUUCGGGCCUCUCGCGUCAGGAUAUGCCUAGGUGGGAUUAGCUAGUUGGUGAGGUAAGGGCUCACCAAGGCGACGAUCCCUAGCUGGUCUGAGAGGAUGAUCAGCCACACUGGAACUGAGACACGGUCCAGACUCCUACGGGAGGCAGCAGUGGGGAAUAUUGCACAAUGGGCGCAAGCCUGAUGCAGCCAUGCCGCGUGUGUGAAGAAGGCCUUCGGGUUGUAAAGCACUUUCAGUCGUGAGGAAGGUAGUGUAGUUAAUAGCUGCAUUAUUUGACGUUAGCGACAGAAGAAGCACCGGCUAACUCCGUGCCAGCAGCCGCGGUAAUACGGAGGGUGCGAGCGUUAAUCGGAAUUACUGGGCGUAAAGCGCAUGCAGGUGGUUUGUUAAGUCAGAUGUGAAAGCCCGGGGCUCAACCUCGGAAUAGCAUUUGAAACUGGCAGACUAGAGUACUGUAGAGGGGGGUAGAAUUUCAGGUGUAGCGGUGAAAUGCGUAGAGAUCUGAAGGAAUACCGGUGGCGAAGGCGGCCCCCUGGACAGAUACUGACACUCAGAUGCGAAAGCGUGGGGAGCAAACAGGAUUAGAUACCCUGGUAGUCCACGCCGUAAACGAUGUCUACUUGGAGGUUGUGGCCCUUGAGCCGUGGCUUUCGGAGCUAACGCGUUAAGUAGACCGCCUGGGGAGUACGGUCGCAAGAUUAAAACUCAAAUGAAUUGACGGGGGCCCGCACAAGCGGUGGAGCAUGUGGUUUAAUUCGAUGCAACGCGAAGAACCUUACCUACUCUUGACAUCCAGAGAACUUUCCAGAGAUGGAUUGGUGCCUUCGGGAACUCUGAGACAGGUGCUGCAUGGCUGUCGUCAGCUCGUGUUGCGAAAUGUUGGGUUAAGUCCCGCAACGAGCGCAACCCUUAUCCUUGUUUGCCAGCGAGUAAUGUCGGGAACUCCAGGGAGACUGCCGGUGAUAAACCGGAGGAAGGUGGGGACGACGUCAAGUCAUCAUGGCCCUUACGAGUAGGGCUACACACGUGCUACAAUGGCGCAUACAGAGGGCGGCCAACUUGCGAAAGUGAGCGAAUCCCAAAAAGUGCGUCGUAGUCCGGAUUGGAGUCUGCAACUCGACUCCAUGAAGUCGGAAUCGCUAGUAAUCGUGGAUCAGAAUGCCACGGUGAAUACGUUCCCGGGCCU
This 1375-nucleotide ribosomal RNA is filed under the name uncultured bacterium. Its description in RNAcentral is "bacterial SSU rRNA". It matches the Rfam family "Bacterial small subunit ribosomal RNA", at positions 28 to 1381 of the family's 1533-position model. The record is from RNAcentral.